ACGCUAGCGACGUGCCUAAGGUAUGCAAGUCGAGGGUGUCUUCGGAACGCCCGGCAGACGGCUGAGUAACACGUGGGAAUCUCCCCUAAACACUGAAAUAACCCAUCGAAAGGUGGGACAAUGUCAGAUACUCUACAAAUCAUUCGUGGUUUGUAGCAAAGCUCCGGCGGUUUAGGAUGAGCCCGCGGCCUAUCAGGUUGUUGGUGGGGUAAUUGCCUACCAAGCCUAUGACGGGUAGCUGAUCUGAGAGGAUGAUCAGCCAGACUGGGAUUGCGAUACGGCCCAGACUCCUACGGGAGGCAGCAACUAGGAAUCAUGCGCAAUGGACGAAAGUCUGACGCUGCGACGUCGCGUGAAGGAUGAAGGUCUUAGGAUCGUAAACUUCUUUUAUUGGGGAACAAAGUUUCUGAGUGUACCCAAUGAAUAAGUGCCUGCUAACCACGUGCCAGAAGCAUCGGUAAUGCGUGGGGCACAAGCGUUAUCCGGAUUUACUGGGCGUAAAGAGAUGCGUAGGCGUCUCGAAAAGUUUCGUGUCAAAUCUUUCGGCUCAACCGAAAAACCGCACGGAAAACUUUCGAGAUUGAGAUAAGUAAAGGAGAGGGGAAUUCCUGGUGGAGCGGUUAAAUGCGUUGAUAUCAGGAGGAAUACCCAAGGCGAAGGCACCUCUCUGGACUUAUUCUGACGCUGAGGCUCGAAAGCGUGGGGAGCAAAACGGAUUAGAUACCCGUGUAGUCCACGCUGUAAACGAUCCCUGCUAGAUGU
This 762-nucleotide ribosomal RNA is filed under the name uncultured organism. RNAcentral's name for it is "bacterial SSU rRNA". It matches the Rfam family "Bacterial small subunit ribosomal RNA", at positions 33 to 823 of the family's 1533-position model. The record is from RNAcentral.